Molecule: ribosomal RNA, 229 nt
Filed under: uncultured bacterium
Lineage: Bacteria
Description: partial 16S ribosomal RNA
Rfam family: Bacterial small subunit ribosomal RNA
Source: RNAcentral
GAUCAUGGCUCAGGAUGAACGCUAGCUACAGGCUUAACACAUGCAAGUCGAGGGGGCAGCAUGUUGGUUGCUUGCAACCGAUGAUGGCGACCGGCGCACGGGCGAGUAACGCGUAUCCAACCUACCCUUGUCCAUCGGAUAACCCGUCGAAAGGCGGCCUAACACGAUAUGCGGUUCACAGCAGGCAUCUAACGUGAACGAAAUGUGAAGGAGAAGGAUGGGGAUGCGU